RNAcentral lists this ribosomal RNA (1360 nucleotides) under Lymantria dispar (gypsy moth). RNAcentral describes it as "large subunit ribosomal RNA". The stretch from base 1069 to 1228 matches the Rfam family "Eukaryotic large subunit ribosomal RNA", at positions 2825 to 2984 of the family's 3401-position model. The record is from RNAcentral. Lineage: Eukaryota; Metazoa; Arthropoda; Insecta; Lepidoptera; Erebidae.
AAUAAAUAUUAAUAAAAAAAUUUUUAAAUUUAUUAAGUAUUUUAAUGGGGGUUAAAGUAUUUUAAUAGAAAAAAUUUAAAUUUUUAUAGUUAACUAGUAUUGUGGGAGAAAUUUGAAAUAAUUAUAAAAUAUAAAUUUAUUAAAAAGUAAUUUUUAUUUAGUGUAUCUUGUGUAUCAGAGUUUAUUAAAAAUUUAUUUUGGUUAAAAUUUUCUCGAAUUUAAAAGAGCGAAUUAAAUAUAAAAGUUAUUGUAGUAAAAAUAUUUUUAAUAUUUAAUUUGAAAUGAAAUGUUAUUCGUUUUUAAAUAUAUCUAGUUUUUUUAGAAAAAAAUUUAAUUUUAAAUUGAUUUUUAAACAUUUAUAUUUUAUUAAUAAAUUUUUAAGAUUAAUUUUAUAUUUUAAGGGAUAAGCUUUAAAUUAAAUUAAUAUAAUAUUUAAUUUAAUAUUGAAAAUUGUAUAAUUUAUAUUGUUAAAAAAUUUUAUUUUAUUAUAAAUAAUUUCAAUUAAUAUAAAAUUUAAUUAAAAUUUAUUAUUUUAUAAGAAAAAUAUAUUUAAUAAUAUAAUUUAAGUUAUAAUGAUAAAAUUAGUAUAAAUUUUUAUUAAUAUUAUUAAAUUUAUUUUAAGGUAUUUUAAAGGAAUUCGGCAAAAUUUUAUAUUCACUUGUUUAUCAAAAACAUGUCUUUUUGAAAAUAAUUUAAAGUCUAAUCUGCCCACUGAUUAAUAAUUAAAGGGCUGCAGUAUUUUGACUGUACAAAGGUAGCAUAAUCAUUAGUCAUUUAAUUGAUGACUUGUAUGAAAGAUUGGAUGAAAUAUGAACUGUCUUUAAAUUAAAUAUAGAAUUUAAUUUUUAAGUUAAAAAGCUUAAAUAAUUUAAAAAGACGAGAAGACCCUAUAGAGUUUUAUUAUUUAUUUAAAUUAAUAUUUUUAUAAUUAGUUAUAUUUAUGUUAAUUUUUAAUAAAUAAUUUUAUUGGGGUGAUAAAAAAAUUUAAUUAACUUUUUUUAAUUUAAAAACAUAAAUAAGUGAAUAUUUGAUCCAUAUUUUAUGAUUAUAAGAAAAAAUUACCCUAGGGAUAACAGCGUAAUUUUAUUUUUUAGUUCAAAUAAGAAAUAGAGUUUGCGACCUCGAUGUUGGAUUAAGAUAAAAUUUAAAUGCAGAAGUUUAAAAGUUUUGAUCUGUUCGCUCACUAAAAUCUUACACGAUCUGAGUUCACACCGGUGUAAGCCAGGUUGGUUUCUAUCUUUUAAAAAUAAAAAUAUUUUAGUACGAAAGGAUUAAAUAUUUAAAUUAUAUUUUUUAAUUUGAAUUUUAUUAAAUAUAUAUAUAUAUAUAUAUAUACAUAAAAAAAAAUUGUUAUGGAUUU